UGGGCACGGGGACCAGGAAGGCCUGUCCCCCCAGCGGCAGGUAGACCUGGGAGGCCGGUCCCUCCGCGGGCAAGGGAACCAGCGAGGCCUGUCUCCUCUGCGGGCACGGGGGACCUUGGAGCCGGACCCUCAGCGGCCACGACGAGCACCGCGGCCUGUGACUCCGGAAACACCGGGACCGUGGGGAGGCCUAUCCAUCCUUGGCAUUGGGUCCGUGGGGUGAACCAUCCUGUCGGUGGGUAUUGGGGGCCCCAGCUCAGCCCAUUCUCAAGCAUCAGGGCCCAUGGCCUGAUCAGGCUCCGAAGUGUGGCCCUCCAGUGGCAUCAUCCCAGCCCCUUGGCAGCUUGUCCCUAAGGUAUUGGAGCCCUAUGGAGUCACCACAGGUUGAACCAAGGGUGGUUUACGUUCCAGGCCUUUAUCCUGUAUUCAUUUGGGUUUACAUACAUUGGUUUGAUUCCAGGAAAAUCUCUGCUGAGCACCUCAUCUUCCUGCAGCAUUUCUGGAUGCCUCAGACAGCGUCAUUGCCAAACCAUCCUUGCAAGGGCAAAAGCCUUGGAACUUAAAUGCAUCCAGAUGGUGGACCUUGGACCUCAGAGGACAUAGCCAGAAAAUCCUCCUGUGCUGCAGGACAGACACGGUGCCCACGGAGCUGCAGACAGAGGAUGUGUCUCAGGACAAGAGUUUCCUUCUCACCACCACCCUGCUCCAACUCUGUCUUCCCCGUGGCACAAAGAGCAUUGAGACUCUUGCAGGGAUCAACAAGACGCUCCUUGUACUUGAGGAAUUAUUUGACAUUUCACUUGCCCCGACGUGUGAAAGAUUCUAUUGUCUACAGAUUCCAUUUCAUUGUGAACCCUCAUAAGGUCCUGCUAAGAAGCCUGCUUUUCAUUUUCAUCUAUUAUUACAAGCAAUGUCCUCUUGCAUUUUGAAGACAGUGUUUCAGUUAUACAUCCAGAAAAGAAGAGUCUGUGCAUGGUAAUCAGUUCAAUGAAUCAUCAAUCCUCCUUGCCUGGUACUUGGUGCCUCUAUAAAGGAACUUCAAAGACCUCUUGCUCCCACAUGAAGCACCUGGCUUCUGCAUUUGUUAAUGGUCAGCAGGAGGAUGAAUGCAGAGUGGACAGGCAGAUUGAGCACAGUGUGGAAGAGGAAAGAGCGGAACGUGUCCAGCACAAGGGCUGCAGGAGGCCUGUCUUGAAAGACAGCAUGAGGUUUCAUGUUCUCCCACACUGCCUUAACGUCCUCCAGAAGAGACACCUGUUUAAAGCGUUUGCUAUUUUUUCAAGUGAAACCCUUAUGUCUUUAGAAACAGGAGAGGCUCUAAAGAGUUCACGCCAAGAAGUGGGCCCGCUCCUGAAGGGCACCCGCAUGAAGCCUGCAAAUGACGUGCCUCCUGGGCUGGGUGGCACCUACACUCCAACUUUAUUGUUUUUCUUGUGUGGAGCUAUUCACUGGGCACAAGAGUGAAGAGUGCUUGUCUCCAGUCAUGCCAGUCCCGCCUCCUCUAGAGGACACCCCAGGGGGACCGACAGUGCCGAGAGUGGGUGGGGGGAGGGGCGAGGGGCUCACGGCUUUGGGUGUAGGAUGCACAGGGUGCCAUGUCCACACCAGGAGAGGAGGACAGUGAGGGCAGCAGUUGCCCAGGUCCAGCAGUGCCCCACUGCUGACUUUGGCAUAAAGCACCGUAGUCAGGCCCAGGCACGCUCUGGGCAUUUCUCUCCUGGACACAAAGCUAAAAGAGCCCAGCUGGGACAACCACCCCAGACUCAAGACAGCACCAUUCUCCGUUAAUAGGGCUGGCCCUCUGCUGGCCUUUCAGAGUUAGCAGCCCCCUCCCCCCGAAGGUUGGGCCUCUUCAAAACUCGAAUUUGCCUGGCGCUCACCGACUCGGGCACCUUCCUGGCUCCCAGUGUGUUCCUCCUCUGCAGGUCCCUUCCCACCUACAAAUGAGGUUAACAGCGUCCAGAGGGCCAGGAGUUGCUGACCCCUGCUGUCACUCCCGCUGCUCUGAUCCACAUCCCCAGGGUCCAGCAACUCUGCUAAUCCAGAGCAACUGGGACUCCCCAAGGCCUCCCCUGCACCCUCCUGACCUGGAUCCAGACCCAGGGGCUGGACACAACAUUUCUGAGAUGACUGACAAGGGCCCUCUGGAGCCCAGCACCCUCACUGCUCUGAGUGUGCACGUCUGGACCUCCAAGGAACUCUGGGCCCCCAGAAACGAUCCAGUCGGAUGUCGCUUGCUACUCUCUCUGGGAUCAUUAUACAGUAAAACCAGGAUCACAUGAACACAAGCAUCGUGACACCACCAGAUGAUCAGAUAACCAAGGCUGCAGCGACGGAGGGGCAGGUAACCUACACGGGACGGAUCAAUACACCGUACAAAAGAGGAUGGGACAGAAUGGGAUGGCCUGAGAUUUCCUCAUGCUCAUUCCUCACUAGAACGGCAAACAAUUUAAAACUUAAGUUGUUAAUUUCUGGAAUUUUCCAUGUAAUGUUUUCAGACUGUCAUCGACUGCAUGUACCUGGAAGCCAUAGAAAUAAAAUCUGCCAGUAAGUGGG
Molecule: non-coding RNA, 2556 nt
Organism: Ictidomys tridecemlineatus (thirteen-lined ground squirrel)
Lineage: Eukaryota; Metazoa; Chordata; Mammalia; Rodentia; Sciuridae
Source: RefSeq, a predicted model, not a curated record